AGUGGCAGUCACAUUUUACCAGUUUCACUGAUGUGGCCGUUACAUUGUAGUGUGACAUUAAAGUGGAGUUACAGUUGGUUGAAACACUGAAGUGAGGGUGGUGCAUACACUGAAUUGGUGAUCACAUUUUAGCAAGGACACAGAAGUGUCAGUCACAUUGUAAUGGUGACACAGCUGUAGCUUUCUCCUUUAAUGGUGAUCAUAGGGUUUUAGUUACAUUGUAGUGAGGACACUGUUGUAGAUG
Pelobates cultripes (western spadefoot toad) is the source of this 244-nucleotide non-coding RNA. NCBI's taxonomy places the organism in Eukaryota, Metazoa, Chordata, Amphibia, Anura, Pelobatidae. The record is from the annotation of a GenBank genome assembly.